RNAcentral lists this ribosomal RNA (194 nucleotides) under uncultured bacterium. Its description in RNAcentral is "partial 16S ribosomal RNA". It matches the Rfam family "Bacterial small subunit ribosomal RNA", at positions 338 to 524 of the family's 1533-position model. The record is from RNAcentral.
CCUACGGGAGGCAGCAGUGGGGAAUUUUGCGCAAUGGGCGAAAGCCUGACGCAGCAACGCCGCGUGGGUGAUGAAGGUCUUCGGAUCGUAAAACCCUGUCGUCAGGGACGAAGGUUGCGUGUCGAACAGAUGCGUAACUUGACGGUACCUGGAGAGGAAGCCCCGGCUAACUCUGUGCCAGCAGCCGCGGUAAU